AGCGGUCCUGUCGGAGCGGAGGCGGAGCUGUCGCUGCUCCCGGGCUCUGUCGGGGCAGCUGCCGGGGCUCGCCCUCCUCGAGGCUGCCGCGCGUCCAGAGAACUGACGAGAAGGGAAAGGUGCUUCUUACUCCUGUUUUGUAGCUCACAUAGGUUCUGUUGGAUGCAGGAUGGUUUUUCGUGGGAGUUCUCAGCACUUCUGUGCAGGUCGGACUUCGGUGGUCCCUCCUCGGCAGGUCCACCUUGGUCGCAGUGCUUCUCGCCCGGCCCACAGGUCACUGGGAAGGCAGUGUGGAUGUUGUCCCUCCGCCUGGAAAAUGCUGCCCGUGGACCGUUGGUCUUUCUGUGUGAAAGCUGUGGCACUGCGUCAGGCUCAUCCAGCAACCCUAUAACGUCGUGCUGGGAAGUUCCUUGAAACAAACCAACAAAAGCACAAGAAGAAGGAAGCCCAUCAUAUGCCACAAAGGAUUGGAAUCAACAAAAGAUUUCUGAAACCACCCUCCCAUCUGCUGCACAUGGUACUCAUGAGGUGAGUAAUUGUUUGUUUAUUUAUUUGAAAGGCAAGGGAACAAAGAAAGAAAUAAGGAGAGCCUGAGUGAGAGAAAUCUUCAGGCUACAAGUUUACUCCCCAAAUGACUGUAAAGGCUGGGGCUGGCUCAGGCCAAAGCCAGGAGACUGGAGCACCAUGCAUGUUUCUGGAUUGGAAGCAGAAUGGCUGAGACUUGAAUUGGCGUUCCAAUAUAGGAUACUAAUGUGGCAAGUGAUGGCUUAAUGCCAGCCCUGAGUGAAUUUGUGGGUUUUUAUUGUUGUCUUUGUUGCUGUUAGGGCUGAGUGUGAUAGCUCAGUUGCUAAAUUCUCAUCUUGCAAGUGCUGUGGUUCCCUAUGGGCGCUCCUUUGUGUCCUGGC
Long non-coding RNA from Ochotona curzoniae (black-lipped pika), 905 nucleotides. RefSeq lists it as uncharacterized. NCBI's taxonomy places the organism in Eukaryota, Metazoa, Chordata, Mammalia, Lagomorpha, Ochotonidae. The record is from RefSeq and is a predicted model, not a curated record. The transcript is spliced from 4 exons.